Nomia melanderi (Alkali bee) is the source of this 3230-nucleotide long non-coding RNA. RefSeq lists it as uncharacterized. Lineage: Eukaryota; Metazoa; Arthropoda; Insecta; Hymenoptera; Halictidae. The record is from RefSeq and is a predicted model, not a curated record.
AAGGAUUGUCACUAAGUUGCUCUGAAAGUUGGCUCAAAGGAUUGUCACUAAUGAGUUGCUCUGAAGCUUUGCUCAAAGGAUUGUCACUAAAUUGCUCUGAAACUUCGUUCAAAGGAUCGCCACUAAUUUCCAGCAGUGGAAAAACUGCUGUCGCAGAAAGAAGACUCUAAGCUUCCACGAGAAAAACAACCGAGGCGAAAAGGGGUCACUUCAGCGAGCUACUCACAUCAGCUCCGGGACGGCUCAGCGGGAACGAGAGAGGCCCGCGGAUCAAAGAGGGUUGCCAGGCAAAAUACACGCGGACACCCAAGCAGCAGCAGUGUUAUAUUUGCGUGGUCGCACGCCUAAGCUAACCGGGAGGAUCUACUAACCGUAGAGAAACCUUACAAUGAAAUCGACCCGAUUGUCCCAGCUGUAGGCCAUCCCUCCGAGGUACUCCUUGAACACCCUGCACCGAUCGAUUCUCUUUUGCUCUUCCUUGUUCUCCCUCUGUUCCUCCUUUCAGCUUCUCCUUCAGGACGAUGUGGCAACCACGAGGAUCGUCGAGCAGCUACUCUCGAUUAACUACCCUAACGUAAGCCGAGAAGCGGAUCCGCACGCGUCGUGACGAGGUGAAAGUGGCUCGAGAGGAUGGUGGUUCCGCACUGAGACCGCCGCGAGACUACGCGAGUUCGGCCGGCUAAGUUUAGAGUACCCCGCCGAAGGGAAGGACAGGAGAGGACCGCUCGCUCCUCCGCGCCGGAGAGAAGGGGCCUCUCUCAGGUGUGUCACCGUGACACAGUCACCGAACCCGCCGGAAACCGAUUAUUCGCUUUCGCCGGCUCCGUACGGUGCCCUCUAUCUUAGCCGUGACACCCUUGCUCUUUCUUUUGCGAGGACUCGACCGUGGCGACUUUCUGAAUGGUAGGCUAGGUAGAUCCUUCGGUAUGGGAACUCUAAGGGGCAACGUAGAAUGCAGACGAUACGGUUAAAUCUAUGAAAUAUUCUACUGACAUCGUUCUAUGAUAGAUUCAUUAGAAGGGACUCUGGUCUACUGUAAUUCCAUUUCUCUAGUUGUGUCAUUAACCCUUUGCGGUCUGAAGUGCUCUGGUUUCUCACUUUGAGUCAUUGAAAUGUUACCUUUAAAUGGUACAAUUGUACCAUUACAGGUACAGAUAAAUAUUACAGAUAAAUAUAGAAGAAAUUGUUAAAACAGGUAGAGGUUGCAAUAAAAUUGAAUGACAUAGUACUGCUAAGGGUUAACCCCAUACAAUGAUUUGAUGAUGAUUUAACAGUAGAACUACCGAGCAUUUAAUACGAUUAAUGUGUAAUGCGUAUAAAAAUUGUAACAGUAGAUUAUUGUCAUUUGUUGACAUUCAUUAUAGUAUUCGAAUGAAGUUAUUUAUUUUCAAGACAUAAUCAUUGCGAAACAAAAAGAAAACCAGUCAUUUUGACUGGUAGUUCUAGUGUUAACGAUGAAGAUUUCUAGAUUAAUUUAACGGAACUGAGUGUUAUUCAUUUCCGCAAUUAUUUCCAUAUCGCCAACGUGUUGUCUUCGAGUGAAAUUUCCACUGAACAUUUUGAUUGCCACGUUACCCGAAUACGGCGACUUUUGUCUUUCUAUUUAGAGUGGUUUGCAAUCUUUAUGCUACGCUUCCUUGAACAUUCUUUAGCGGCUCUUUAUCUUUUAACAGGAUUUCUGUAGGUAUCAGGAGACAGCUUUGGAAUGUUUAAGUUAAAAUUGUUUUCUGAGUUCGGUCGUGUAUUCUGAACUGACUAUUCGAGAUGAGAUUAUAGGAAAUGAACAGAUUUCUGUUGGAGACAGAUGAUUCAACUGGGAGGAUUGAGGACAGUAAAGUAGGACUUUGUUUAUACAGAAUUCUUGGAAGCUGAAGUGAUUCGAGUGACUGAAUUAUUCUGAUGACUGUACAGUUUGAUAUUUAUUACCUUUAUUGUGAUAUCAGACACUUUUGUACAACAGCAAAAAGAUUGAAGGAUGAUAGAACGAUGAUUCUGUUUAUAUUUUAUAGUAUAUUGAUAGUAAGUCUCAUUUAUUUAACACUAGAACUACUGAUCACUUAAACUUUUUACAUAUUAAGACUUCAGUUGAGUUGUACUUCAGUUUUGCUAUUACAGAAUUAGUUUCGUUAAUCAUCUUCCAAGAAGCCUCUCCAUCUUCUCAGUAAUAGUAAACGAAAUCAGAAAUAAGUCUGGUAGUUCUAGCGUUAAUGGUGCAUCCGUUCACUCCAGCGUUCCAACGUUUAGAGCUCAGCAUCCCAAGGAUCUCCGGGAACCGUGCUUCCCCUAGAACCCAUAAACGUUCAUUUACAAACGGUCCUCUCCUCGCACAGUAAAACGCGAAUCCACGAACUCGCCCGGCGAUCCACCGAUAUUAUGAGUUUGUAUUUCAUUGUGCAACAGGCCGCAGCCUGUACAUUUAUAGAGAGCCAGAUACUGUGGUAAAUUACUUUGACGCGAACAAUUUUAGAAUUCGGUGUUGUAGCGAGAGUUAUAACAGCCGAGAAGAGAACUCGACGGAAUACAAAUUGUGCGCUCACCGCGUGGCAAUUAUGCACAAUCAUGAACCACCUUUUAGGGGUUCACAUCAGUGUCGCCAAGGAAUCCUGAGAUCUAGGUGCAGCCUUUGGAUUUGAUCUGGAUUAAUAAUGAAGUAUUCAGUUUGCGUGUUACCAGAUGAAUUUAAUCAUUUCUCAGAGAAACAUGUUAGUAAUUGCAAAAGAAGAAUCUAAGGGUUGAGAAUUUAAUUUGUUCUAGAGUUUCAAUGUAAAAGAAUUAGUACACUGUGACAGAUACAUUAGAGAUCUUCGAGUUCCUGUAACUUUCUAAUAAAAGGUCGUAGAACAUUUCACCUGGACUCAUUAUAAAGUCUGAGGCUUCUACUUUCGCCUUCCAGUUUUACACUUGAACCCUUGUAACUUGACACUAGAACUACCAGAGAGGUCAAAACGACACAUUCUUGACUGCUUCUUUUUACUAUGAUUAAGAAUGUAAUAGAUAUUUCUCUGAGAAAUUAUUACAGAAAUUGAUUCAACGAUAGGCAAACUGAAUUGUAAAUCAAUAGAAAUCUCAAUAGUAGCACUGUUGGAGUUUCCAUAGAAAAAUGUCAAAAUUCUAUUGAGGUAAAAUGAUUAGACUAAGAAAAUAAUUUUAAGAUACAAUUUCAAUUUAUUCCCAAUAACGAUUAUACAAUGAAGUAUAGAAAAUGUCCAAAAUUCCAUUGAGGAAAAAUU